RNAcentral lists this ribosomal RNA (115 nucleotides) under Sinocyclocheilus rhinocerous. The record is from RNAcentral. Lineage: Eukaryota; Metazoa; Chordata; Actinopteri; Cypriniformes; Cyprinidae.
AACCACAGCUAUAUCACCCUGCAGCCCAAGACUGGUUGCCCACUGAAGCUAAGCAGGGUUGAGCCUGGUCAGUUCUUGGGUGGGAGACCUCCUGGGAAAACUAGGUUGUUAGUUA